ACCUCAAAUCAGGCAAGAAUACCCGCUGAACUUAAGCAUAUCAAUAAGCGGAGGAAAAGAAACUAACAAGGAUUCCCCUAGUAACGGCGAGUGAAGAGGGAAGAGCUCAAAUUUUAAAUCUGCCUUGUUUCAAGGUCGAGUUGUAAUUUGAAGAAGCGUUUUCUUGGGCUCGCGGCCGGUAGAAGUUCUUUGGAACAGGACAUCAUAGAGGGUGACAAUCCCGUCUGCGACCGGUCGUGUGUUCGUCUACGAUACGCUUUCAAAGAGUCGAGUUGUUUGGGAUUGCAGCUCCAAAUGGGUGGUAAACAUCACCUAAGGCUAAAUAUUGGCGAGAGACCGAUAGCGAACAAGUACCGUGAGGGAAAGAUGAAAAGAACUUUGAAAAGAGAGUUAAAUAGUACGUGAAAUUGUUGAAAGGGAAACGAUUGAAGUCAGUCGUGCUGGCGCGAAAUCAACCCUCUCGUCGAGAGGUCACACGGCGUGGCGAGCCUCAAAACCGUCACGAAGCGUGAACUCUUGGCGAAAAGGAGCACUUUCGUGUCCGCUGGUUAACAUCAAUUUCGAACGUCAUAAAAAGGCUGGAGGGAUGUGGCUCCUUCGGGAGUGUUAUAACCUUUAGCGGAAUGUGGUGGUCGGGAUUGAGGAUUGCAACGAAUACCUUUAGGGCUGUUCCACCUGGCUUCUCUUUGGUAUCCUGGUGACGACAGCUUGCUGACGUUGUUAGGAUUCGCCUUUGAACAGGCUAGAGUGUGAGCAAAUUCGUUAAGGAUGUUAACGUAAUGGCUUUAAACGACCCGUCUUGAAACACGGACCAAGGAGUCUAGCAUAUAUGCGAGU
This 837-nucleotide ribosomal RNA is filed under the name uncultured Glomeromycotina. RNAcentral describes it as "eukaryotic LSU rRNA". It matches the Rfam family "Eukaryotic large subunit ribosomal RNA", at positions 1 to 691 of the family's 3401-position model. Lineage: Eukaryota; Fungi; Glomeromycota. The record is from RNAcentral.